CCAGAUAGUUUAUCUAUUGCAAUAGGUUGGUUAUCUAUUGCAUUAUGCCGAUCUAUCUAAUCUAAGUCUAAUCUGUUGCAACAGCAGAAGACCUGUUUGAUUUCAACAGAUGACCUAAAUUUUACAACAUAUGCCUAAAUCUGUUUGAUAUUUUGCAAUAAUUACGCUAGAAUAUCCAUGUGCUCGACAACACCAAACCAGUAGCAAAUACACCAACAUGAAAAUUUUAGCAAUUAGGCUUGAAAAUCCAUGUGCUCAACACCACCAAACCAGUAGCAAUAACGGCAACAAUGUAGUAUCUUCUAGCUCGAUUUUGUUUCACUUUCGAAGCCUUGACUUUCUUCAACGAACCCCAUAUUAUACGAUUUGCUUAUGAAGGAUGUCGUUCUUCAUACCAAUCAAAGUAAUCGUAUCCACCCAAUUUCUAUAAAAACAAGAACAUAAUUAUAAGUCAUUAAUUAAUCAAUUAUAAAUUAAAAAAAUAAUACCUUUGAAAUCUAACAAGUAAAAAAUCUACGACCUAAAUUUUAUUGAGUACAAGAAGUCUUCAAUAGAGCUUCAUGACCGCACUUACAAUAUCAAAAAUCGUUAUCACAAAAAACAGUGAAAGAUGCGCUCGGCAUUGUCAAGCUCAGUUGAAAAAAAAAAGAUGAAGAAAAGAAAGACCAAAUGCAAAUAAUUUGAAGAAUUUGAAUAGAUAAAAAAAAUGACAACGAAAAAGAAGAUUUGGGGAUUCAGGGUUAGAUUUUAGAAAGAAGAUGAAUAUAUAAGACACUGGGGGA
RNAcentral lists this long non-coding RNA (782 nucleotides) under Capsicum annuum. RNAcentral's name for it is "long non-coding RNA (CANN_LNC006379)". Lineage: Eukaryota; Viridiplantae; Streptophyta; Magnoliopsida; Solanales; Solanaceae. The record is from RNAcentral.